This 468-nucleotide ribosomal RNA is filed under the name uncultured bacterium. RNAcentral describes it as "partial 16S ribosomal RNA". It matches the Rfam family "Bacterial small subunit ribosomal RNA", at positions 28 to 507 of the family's 1533-position model. The record is from RNAcentral.
GACGAACGCUGGCGGCGUGCUUAACACAUGCAAGUCGAACGGAAAGGCCCUGCUUUUGUGGGGUGCUCGAGUGGCGAACGGGUGAGUAACACGUGAGUAACCUGCCCUUGACUGUGGUAUAACUUCAGGAAACUGGGGCUAAUACCGGAUAGGAGCUCCUGCUGCAUGGUGGGGGUUGGAAAGUUUCGGCGGUUGGGGAUGGACUCGCGGCUUAUCAGCUUGUUGGUGGGGUAGUGGCUUACCAAGGCUUUGACGGGUAGCCGGCCUGAGAGGGUGACCGGCCACAUUGGGACUGAGAUAAGGCCCAGACUCCUACGGGAGGCAGGAGUGGGGAAUAUUGCACAAUGGGCGGAAGCCUGAUGCAGCAACGCCGCGUGCGGGAUGACGGCCUUCGGGUUGUAAACCGCUUUCGCCUGUGACGAAGCGUGAGUGACGGUAAUGGGUAAAGAAGCACCGGCUAACUACGUG